RNAcentral lists this ribosomal RNA (779 nucleotides) under uncultured Neocallimastigales. RNAcentral describes it as "partial large subunit ribosomal RNA". It matches the Rfam family "Eukaryotic large subunit ribosomal RNA", at positions 23 to 635 of the family's 3401-position model. The record is from RNAcentral. Lineage: Eukaryota; Fungi; Neocallimastigomycota; Neocallimastigomycetes; Neocallimastigales.
AGAGAUGUGUGAUGACGCAUAUCAAUAAGCGGAGGAAAAGAAACUAACAAGGAUUCCCCUAGUAACGGCGAGUGAAGCGGGAAGAGCUCAAAUUUGAAAUCUUCAAGGGUUUCCCUUUACGAAUUGUAGUUUAAAGAAGUGUUUUCUGUUAGAGAGGUUGGUAAAAGUUCUUUGGAAUAGGACAUCAUAGAGGGUGAGAAUCCCGUAUUUGACGUCACUUUCCUAGCUGUUGUGAUACACUUUCAAAGAGUCGGAUUGUUUGGGAAUGCAGUCCAAAAAUGGGUGGUAAAUUUCAUCUAAAGCUAAAUAUUGGCGAGAGACCGAUAGCGAACAAGUACCGUCGAGGGAAAGAUGAAAAGAACUUUGAAAAGAGAGUUAAACAGUACGUGAAAUUGUCAAAAGGGAAGCGUUUGACACCAGUGUUGUUUUUCCGAAAAUCAAUUACGAAUGUUUUGUUUUUGAGAAGUUAUGACUUCAUCGGCUUGCUUCUCUCUUUACGAAACUUUCUUAAUGCACUUUUCGGUUAACAAGUCAACAUCAAUUUCUUUUGCUGUAAAAGGGUAUGAGGAAGGUGGCUUUCUUUUCGGAGAAAGUGUUUAUAGCCUUGUACCUCUGCAAUCGGAGAGAUUGAGGUCUGCAGCGUAGAUCCUUCGGGGUUAGAUACAUUUGUGCUAAGUUAUAGCUUUUCAUAGACAACUUGUUGACUAUGUUAAGUCUUGUAGCUUACUCGCUUAUGCUAUUUUACCUACGCUUAGGAUGUUGACAGCAGUAUAGACUGU